This is a non-coding RNA of Salvia hispanica, 942 nucleotides long. The record is from RefSeq and is a predicted model, not a curated record. NCBI's taxonomy places the organism in Eukaryota, Viridiplantae, Streptophyta, Magnoliopsida, Lamiales, Lamiaceae.
GUAUAUGUGAAUUUAAUCAUGUACCUAGCAAGCUGUUCAGUUUAUUUUUCAAAGACGCGACACUGCUCUCAAAUCAUGUGAUGAACCUGUAUUUCGAGCUGUUUGUGUAAGAAUAGUUGUGGCUAAUUGGACCCAUCCUCAUAUUUAGAUUUAGUUAGUCGGUUUUCCCGAAAGGAGCAGGGGAGGAGGCGAUAUAAAAUUUCCCGGCGGGGCACUGGACCUGAAUAAACUCGUUGCGUCAUAUUUGCUUGUCAAGCAAUUUAAGUAUGCAUUCUAAAGGAAAUUAUACGGUGCAGCAGUUUCCGGUUAAGCAUUGUGCAUAUGGCACUCUCUGAUCACCAAAUUGCUUAAAAUUCAAAUCUAGCUGGAUAGGAAGAGCAGAAUAACCAGAAUCAUCUAAAUUAGUGUUCCUAGUUCAAGUGGAUUCUGAAGAAUACGAGCAGAUUUGCUUUCAAUUCUAAGUUAUGAGCAUCAAAGCAGUCGAUAUAGCUAUAAAACUCACGCUGGAGGGCCAUAGUUAGGUCACCCUCUUCCAGUCCUGGAUAUUUGCCAUGGUUUCAACUUCUUGUAUAAUCACUCAAUUGAUCUACUUAAACAAGCUAUGAUGAAAUGCACGGGGAGUUUGUAGCAAUUAUCCAUGACGACCAAUUCAAGCGACAUAAAAGUUGUGCAGAUCCCGCGCUUACUGGUGAGCAUGUUCAUGUCAAUUUCCUCUAAGUUCUUGGGCUGAUUCGUGUUAGGACAUACGAGUAGCAUGCAACGGUUUUUUGUGUAUAUAGGAGUGCGUAGUUCGUUUUCCCCGACAACGUUACAUCCAUUUCUGUUCUUUUUUAGCCAAACCAAUUAAAACGUUGUUAUUAUUAGCUCAUUAGUAACUCAGACCUGGGCCACAUUCGAUUUGUAAAUGAGUAAUUGUUGUGCAUUGUUAUAGCUUUUAGUUUC